GCUGGUCUCGAACUCUUGACCUUGGGUGAUCCACUCGCCUUGGCCUCCCAAAGUGCUGGGAUUAUAGGCAUGAGCCACUGCGACUGGCCCAAAAUCAUAUUAUUUAAAAAUCAAAAAGGACUAGCCAGAUCUGUAGGAUACAGAAGGAACUAAUAACCCUGGCUACCUGUGGGGAGGGCCCCAGAGGUGGAAGUGAGACUUUUUAUUGCAUAUUUUUAAUACUUUCUCAAUUCUGAACCACAUGAAUACAUUAACAAUUUUUUUUAAGUUUUUUUUUUAAGGUGAGUUGAAGUCUUGGGAAUAGACUGAAAACUAACAAAACCGGCCCCAUCGCUGAGGACCAGGAUGGGACAAAAACAAGGGCAGAUGCUGUAGUCUGCAAGCUCAUAUCCUCAAAGAGACCAAAAUGCCAUUUAUAAUUUUACUGUCAUAUUCACUGCAGCCAUGUUAUUUAAAUAGUCAUUACAGAAUCAUGAAAAUAACCACAAGAACUUUUAAGUGUGAAAUAAAGGUCUCAUAAAUUUCUGUUCCUUAAAA
Homo sapiens (human) is the source of this 537-nucleotide long non-coding RNA. RefSeq lists it as uncharacterized. Lineage: Eukaryota; Metazoa; Chordata; Mammalia; Primates; Hominidae. The record is from RefSeq and is a predicted model, not a curated record. The transcript is spliced from 2 exons.